GGGGCUGUAGCUCAGUGGUAAAGCACUUGCCUCACAUGUAUGAGGCACUGGGUUCAAUCCUCAGCACCACA
This 71-nucleotide transfer RNA is filed under the name Marmota monax (woodchuck). RNAcentral's name for it is "tRNA.Val". It matches the Rfam family "tRNA". From Rfam's summary of the family: Transfer RNA (tRNA) molecules are approximately 80 nucleotides in length. Their secondary structure includes four short double-helical elements and three loops (D, anti-codon, and T loops). Lineage: Eukaryota; Metazoa; Chordata; Mammalia; Rodentia; Sciuridae. The record is from RNAcentral.